UACGUAGGGUGCGAGCGUUGUCCGGAAUUAUUGGGCGUAAAGAGCUUGUAGGCGGUUUGUCGCGUCUGCCGUGAAAUUUCGAGGCUCAACCUCGAACUUGCGGUGGGUACGGGCAGACUAGAGUGUGGUAGGGGGAGACUGGAAUUCCUGGUGUAGCGGUGAAAUGCGCAGAUAUCAGGAGGAACACCGGUAGCGAAGGCGGGUCUCUGGGCCGA
RNAcentral lists this ribosomal RNA (215 nucleotides) under uncultured bacterium. RNAcentral's name for it is "partial 16S ribosomal RNA". It matches the Rfam family "Bacterial small subunit ribosomal RNA", at positions 524 to 737 of the family's 1533-position model. The record is from RNAcentral.